RNAcentral lists this long non-coding RNA (1844 nucleotides) under Trifolium pratense (red clover). RNAcentral describes it as "long non-coding RNA (TPRA_LNC012874)". Lineage: Eukaryota; Viridiplantae; Streptophyta; Magnoliopsida; Fabales; Fabaceae. The record is from RNAcentral.
UUGAUGGAUCAUAGUCAACAACAAGGUCAAUUUUUAUUCUUUUUUUUUUAUAAAUUUUUUGGGUAUGCAAUUUCUUAUUGAUUGAUAUGUUUUUCUUGAUUGAUUUGUUUAAGUUCAUUUGAUGAAUCUGCAGAUUUAUAAACAAAUUUCAGUCUCUCAAAUUUAUAUUUUUCAACUUCAGUUUUGCAUGUAUGAAAUUCUCCUAGAUUCAAGUUUUUGGGUGUUGGAAAAACUAAGGUAAAAGAAAUCAAUUUGAUUGAGAAUGUGCUAAUUUCCUUUUCUCUUAUUUUGUUAUGUUUGGUGUUUUAUGAACCAAUUUCAAUCUCUCAAAUUUAUAUUCUUCAACUUCAGUUCUUGCGUGUAGGAAAUUCUCAAUAGAUUCAAGCUUUUGGGUGUUGGAAAAACUAAGGUAAGAGAAACCAACCUUCUCUUUUUAUUAUUUCUCUUUUAUACCAAACCCUAAGACCCUAGAAGAUGGACAAAAGAGAUUUUAUAAGUUAAAACGGACAAUAUAUGUUUAGGUUGCAAGUUCAUGUAAAAGAAGAAAUAUUUAUGUUAAAUUUGUGUAGACAUACAUGUGGUAAAUUUAGUAUAACUCUCUGAAUAUAGGUCAUAUGCUAAAUAUUUUUAAUCCACUACAAAGAAGACAAAAUUUCCUACAAUUUAGUCACCGGAAAUGUUAAAUUCCCAUAAGUAUAGUAGGAGAAAAGCUACCUACAAGUUUGAGUGUAGUUUCAGUCCUGUUUCUGUACCAAUACCCAAUCUUUUGUUAAACUGAACCAAUUGGAUGGUUAAACCUCAAAACAAAAAUUAUAUUUGUAAUCUUGACAUCCUAAGCUUUCAAACGAGUGGUCGUUUACUCAAAACGGAUAUCGUUUGGUAUUUUAAUUAAGUUGCGAAAUUUAAGGUGUUGUUGCUAUGUUUGUGCAGAAAAAUCUGUUUCUGUACCAAUACCCAAUCUUUUGUUAAACUGGACCAAUUGGAUGGUUAAAACUUAAAACAAAAAUUAUAUCUGUAAUCUUGAAAUCCUAAUCUUUCCAACGAGUGGUCGUUUACUCGAAACGGAUAUCGUUUGGUAUUUUAAUUAAACUGCGAAAGUUAAGGUGGUGUUGCUAUGUUUGUGCAGAAAAACUGAUUUUAAAACUAGAUUCAAGUUUUUGGGUGUUGGAAAAACUAAGGUAAAAGAAAUCAAUUUGAUUGAGAAUGUGCUAAUUUCCUUUUCUCUUAUUUUGUUAUGUUUGGUGUUUGUUUUAUGAACCAAUUUCAAUCUCUCAAAUUUAUAUUCUUCAACUUCAGUUUUUGCAUGUAGGAAAUUCUCAAUAGAUUCAAGCUUUUGGGUGUUGGAAAAACUAAGGUAAGAGAAACCAACCUUCUCUUUUUAUUCUUUCUCUUUUAUACCAAACCCUAAGACCCUAGAAGAUGGACAAAAGAAAUUUUAUAAGUUAAAAUGGACAAUAUAUGUUUAGGCUGCAAGUUCAUGUAAAAGAAGAAAUAUUUAUGUGAAAUUUGUGUAGACAUACAUGUGGUAAAUUUAGUAUAACUCUCUUAAUAUAGGUCAUAUGCUAAAUAUUUUUAAUCCACUACAAAGAAUACAAAAUUUCCUACAAUUUAGUCACCGGAAAUGUUAAAUUCCCAUAAGUAUAGUAGGAGAAAAGCUACCUACAAGUUUGAGUAUAGUUUUAGUCCUGUUUCUGUACCGAUACCCAAUAUUUUGUUAAACUGGACCAAUUGGAUGGUUAAACCUUAAAACAAAAAUUAUAUUUGUAAUCUUGACAUCAUAAACUUUCAAAAGAGUGGUCGUUUACUCAAAACGGAUAUCGUUUGGUAUUUUAAUUAAGUUGCGA